Molecule: long non-coding RNA, 1010 nt
Organism: Daucus carota subsp. sativus
Lineage: Eukaryota; Viridiplantae; Streptophyta; Magnoliopsida; Apiales; Apiaceae
Exons: 5
Source: RefSeq, a predicted model, not a curated record
GAAAAAUAUAAUUUUUAUAAACACAAGAUUCCAUGUUGCCGAAAUAAAAUUAGAUAAGCGUAUUUCUACAUGUUUGUGAGAUUAGCUGGCAAAGCUUCUGUAUAAUGGAAAGCUAUGAUGAAUUCGAUUGAGCAACUUGCUCACUGUAGUGAAUCCAUAAUGACAUGAGAUACUCAUUAGUUAUCUAUUUACGCUGAUAAGUUUAUAUCAUUGAUCUUGUUACUAUACCUGAAGCAGUCACAUAAGUAUUUGUCAUAUGCAUUUGAUUAUCAAUGUGUUAACAUCUAUUUUUUUUUUUGGGUGUAAUUUCACUAAAGUGUGAGUUCUUGUAUGUUUUAAUUAAGUUGUCAACAGUUAUUAGUUCUUACAUUAGUCACUAAAUUGCUGAUAAUGUGUAGUAAGAGGUUAUGUGACUGGAAGUACUGAUACAUCCUUAUGGACGGUAUACAAAAACGGCGUGAGGAAUUACUGUGGAAAUAUACUACCAGAUGACUUGGUAAAAAGCCAAAGAUUACCAGCAAACAUACUUACUCCGACAACUAAGGCUGCAGAUCAUGAUGUGCCCGUAACUCCAUAUGAGAGCUUCAGUUUAUAUGAAGCAGAUAGUGAAAAGGGGGCUGAUGACUCAAGAUGAAUACGAUGAAGCAAGUACAAAAGCACUAAGCUUAUUUGUAUAUGGACAGGCAAUUGCGGAGGCAACUCAGGAUGUCACCGGUGGUGAGAGUUCGGAGAAUGACAUUGAUGGGGAUGAUGAUGGUGAUGGCGAUGAGGAAGAUUGAAAUGAAGCUACCUAGUUAGAUGCAUUAUUGGUAGGGAUGCUGAUUUUGUUAAAAUAUUGCUUUUGGCUUUUGAUUGUUCAGCUAUAACGUAUAUGAUUGUUGGCUUUUGGCUGAUUGUUCAGCUGUAACAUUUAUGUCGUACUGAAUUUUAUAACUGUUCUUGUUUAAAUAUAUGAAUGCUUGUUGGCUUUUAAAUUAUGUCGUACUGAAUUUUGAUGGAUAUGAUUCUUG